GUAGAAAAAACAACAAUCUGUAUUAAAAGCUGUAAAUGAAGAAUCCACAUUAGGUUAUGUUGAGGAAUUAUUUGAUGCUCUUCCUUUGAGAGUCGGUAUGAGAUCAAAAUGCUUAAGGAUGCACUUGACAAUGCAAAAGAAAAUCAUGACGUCAUGCCUGAACAAAUAACAAAUUACUUUAUUUGGACUGAUAAGGCUACACUGGUUAUGGAAAGAAAGUCAAGAUUCAAAUGAAACAGAAGUUUAAUGUAGGUUAUGCAGUAAUGUUGAAAUUAGGAAUUCAAGUGCAAGUAUCGGAAGGAAAUGGCUUCCAUAUUGUAAGAACUGCACAUGCUGGUAUUACUCUUCGGUUGUUUCGACCAAGCUUGUGCCAGAUCCAACAUAUGAAUCGCCUGUAUGCAACAUGACGGUACAAUCUAAUACAGUAAUGUUAAUGCAGGACCCCAAUGGAAAUAAACCUGCUAUUGGUUUUCUUGGGCUAUCCUGGCCAAUGUUUGUUAAUGUUUCCCUGUUUGUUAACUGUAAACUUUUGGCUGAAUAAAUAAAUGAAUGAA
Anneissia japonica is the source of this 554-nucleotide long non-coding RNA. RefSeq lists it as uncharacterized. The record is from RefSeq and is a predicted model, not a curated record. NCBI's taxonomy places the organism in Eukaryota, Metazoa, Echinodermata, Crinoidea, Comatulida, Comatulidae. The transcript is spliced from 2 exons.